GUGUCAAUUUUUUAUGUUUCAUGUGAGAGUUGAAAGGAAUAAGAGUUGAGUUGAGAGAAUCAAAGGGGAAAGGGGAAGGUUUACCUAGGCAUCUGUGAUGUUGGUGAGAAAAUGGCUCGCCAAGGCUGAGGAAACAUAAAUGAAUGGGGUUAAUUGGGAAAAAAGAAUUGAACUUGAAGGGGAGAAAGUUUACCUUUGUCUGCAUUGAAAUAUAGGUCCUUAGUAUUCAUGGAGCAAUUGGUGAGGGUAAAGAGCAUGUAACUGAUGAUGCAGCGGAGAUGGAACUUCACCUACAAAAACAUAAACCUCAUCUUUGUUAAUACAAGGUAAAUACAAAAAAUAAAAAAGUUAAAUAAU
RNAcentral lists this long non-coding RNA (357 nucleotides) under Lotus japonicus. RNAcentral's name for it is "long non-coding RNA (LJAP_LNC000853)". The record is from RNAcentral. Lineage: Eukaryota; Viridiplantae; Streptophyta; Magnoliopsida; Fabales; Fabaceae.